Molecule: ribosomal RNA, 253 nt
Filed under: uncultured bacterium
Lineage: Bacteria
Description: partial 16S ribosomal RNA
Rfam family: Bacterial small subunit ribosomal RNA
Source: RNAcentral
UACGUAGGGGGCAAGCGUUGUCCGGAAUCAUUGGGCGUAAAGAGCGUGUAGGCGGCUCGGUAAGUCCGCUGUGAAAGUCUAGGGCUCAACCCUGGAAUGCCGGUGGAAACUGUCGAGCUAGAGUCCGGAAGAGGCGAGUGGAAUUCCUGGUGUAGCGGUGAAAUGCGCAGAUAUCAGGAGGAACACCAAUGGCGAAGGCAGCUCGCUGGGCCGGUACUGACGCUGAGACGCGAAAGCGUGGGGAGCAAACAGG